RNAcentral lists this ribosomal RNA (429 nucleotides) under Bacteroidota bacterium. RNAcentral describes it as "Bacteroidetes bacterium partial 16S ribosomal RNA". It matches the Rfam family "Bacterial small subunit ribosomal RNA", at positions 355 to 776 of the family's 1533-position model. Lineage: Bacteria; Pseudomonadati; Bacteroidota. The record is from RNAcentral.
UAGGGAAUCUUCCGCAAUGGACGCAAGUCUGACGGAGCAACGCCGCGUGAGUGAAGAAGGAUUUCGGUUCGUAAAACUCUGUUGUUAGAGAAGAACAGCGCAUAGAGUAACUGUUAUGCGUGUGACGGUAUCUAACCAGAAAGCCACGGCUAACUACGUGCCAGCAGCCGCGGUAAUACGUAGGUGGCAAGCGUUGUCCGGAUUUAUUGGGCGUAAAGCGAGCGCAGGCGGUCAAUUAAGUCUGAUGUGAAAGCCCCCGGCUCAACCGGGGAGGGUCAUUGGAAACUGGUUGACUUGAGUGCAGAAGAGGAGAGUGGAAUUCCAUGUGUAGCGGUGAAAUGCGUAGAUAUCGGGAAGAACACCAAUGGCGAAGGCAGGUCUCUGGGCUGUUACUGACGCUGAGAAGCGAAAGCGUGGGGAGCGAACAGG